Non-coding RNA from Delphinapterus leucas (beluga whale), 1233 nucleotides. The record is from RefSeq and is a predicted model, not a curated record. Lineage: Eukaryota; Metazoa; Chordata; Mammalia; Artiodactyla; Monodontidae.
AGGAAUGUAUGGAAAAACUCAAUUAGGUCAGAAAAUGAUUAAUAUGGAUUUAUGCUUGAGUCUCCCUGCAAGUUGUCACCCAGGUUGGACCAAUCUUGCAUUCCUGAGAAAAAUUCCACUUGUAAUGAUUCUUUAUUAUAUCUGGCUUCAAGAUUAUCUAUCACAGAUGUCAUUGUACAUGAUUUUGGAGUUUUUGUCAUCUCAAUUCUACAUGGAGCAAAAUUAACAUCCUUUUUUUUUUAAUUUUAUCUUAAGAAGAUUUGAAGAUUUCUCAAAAUGAACUUUUUCUUGAAGGAAGCUUGUUCUAAAUGGAAUCAAACAAAUAAAACUUAAAUGAAGCUCUUAAAGAAUAACUUAUUGUUAUGAAUACUAAAUAGUAGAUUAAACAGCUCUACAAUGAUCAGAAGUCUGCAACUGAGAAGCCCUUCUGCUACUAACAGCAAUGUUUUUGGGUUCAAAAAAUAUUCUGAGCUUUCUCUGACCAAUAAUGUAAGUAGAUGUGGUAUUGGAGUGUGUAUUCAUUUCCUAGGGCUACUGUAACAAAGUAUCCCAAGUUGGGUGGCUUUAAACAACAGAAAUUUAUUGUCUAUAGUUCUGGAGGCUGGAAGUCCAAAAUCAAAGUUUCAGCAGUGCCGUGCUCCCUCCAAAACCUGUAGAAGAAUCCUUCCCUGAUUCUUUCUAGUUUCUGGUGCUUUGCUGGCAAUCUGUGGUGUUCCUUUACUUGUAGCUGUCAAGGAACUCCAAUCCUGUCUUCACAUGGCAUUCUCCCUGUCUAUGUCUUUAUGUGGCCAUCUUCUUAUGAGGAUACCAGUUAUAUUGUAUUGGGAGGCCACCCUAUGCCAGCACCUCAUCUGAACUAAUUACAUCUGUAACCAUACUAUUUCCAAAUAAGGUCACAUUCUGAGGUGCUGGGGGUUAGGACUUCAACAUUUCUUUUGUGGGGGACCUAAUUCAAUUAAUAACAGGGUGCAUCUGCCCUAAGUUCCUAAUUCUGAUGCAUCUCUGGUUUAAAAAAUAAAUCUUGGAAAUAUGGUUGGUUAUAUAGCUGUUCCUUGGUAAAAUUUUCACUGCUGUUUCCUUCCUUUUUUUUUUUUUUCUGAUAUCUUUGUAUAAAUUCUGAUCUGGUUAUAAAGUUCUGACAUAGUUAACAAUGUGAUUUUUCUUAAAAAUGCCAAAUUAUCUUGUUACACAUCAUAAUGCUUUUUCAGAAGCAAGCGAUCAUGGUUAUUAAAU